RNAcentral lists this long non-coding RNA (17430 nucleotides) under Vitis vinifera (wine grape). Its description in RNAcentral is "long non-coding RNA (VVIN_LNC000330)". The record is from RNAcentral. Lineage: Eukaryota; Viridiplantae; Streptophyta; Magnoliopsida; Vitales; Vitaceae.
CGGUGUCUCCUGUUUCUCUUUCUUCUUUCUUAAUUAAUUGCUCUCCUGAUGUUUCUCUUAAUUGUUUUUCGGUGUAAAUCUUCUGUAUCUCUCCCUUCUGAAUUUUAGAUUUCUGGGUAGAAUCAUGCUCAGGUUGCCUCUCAGAACGAACUGUGGCAUUGUGUGCAUUGACAAGGUCCUGGAACUCUUGACUAGAGUGCAUCAGUUGCUCAAAGGUAGCAGCUUGCAGGAUCUCCCCUUCGGACAUUAACUGCCAACAGAAUUAGUCAUUUGGACUGCUUGAUUUAAAAGCAUGUGUUACUCAAGGAUUGCCUUCCAGAUGAUGGAAAUUAUUUGUUAAGAAAGGAAAAUGAAGUCAAAUGAGAGUUAAAGAACGAUAUCCAAGAAAGUAACUGUACUAACCAGAACCGAAUCAAAUGCAGGAAGGAAGUCCACCUGGUGGGUCACAAGUAUGACCGUCUUCGUUGAUAGAGCUCCCAUGACAUAUUCCUGGCCACAACUGGCAUUAGCAUUCACUCUGAAAGCAAUAACAUUAGUAGCAUAAUUUCUGAGAAAGGAGAACCAUACAUACAUUAAAUAGACUGGUUGCAGUAUGUGCAUCGACCGCACUAAAUGGAUCAUCCAGGAGAUAUACAUCUGCAUCCUGAUAUAAUGCGCGUGCGAGUUGAACCCGUUGCUUUUGUCCACCACUCAGAUUAACACCUCUUUCUCCUAUUUCAGUGAGAUCACCAAAUGGAAGCAUCUCAAGGUCCUUCACUAGGGCACACUUCUCAAUAGCCUCUCUGUAUCUGUAAGGAUCCAUAGCUGACCCAAACAGAAUAUUUUCUUGUAUGGUCCCUGUUGGAAUCCAAGCUGUCUGAGAGACGUAAGCAAUCUUUCCAUAAACUCGAACCUGGAAAAGAUGGAUCCAGAAUUUGUAUUAAGACUUUAGUUGAGGUAAGUCUCCUAGAACCUUUUAGGGCUCAUGAAGUUGUCUACCUUCCCCAUUUUCCUCCAUGAUGUUAAUAUCUACCAAAUGAAGUGUGUAUAAAUCAGGAAUGAUGCAUUACUUCUUUCAGAUUUUAAGUUUGUUUUCUUUCGUAUUCCUACUUAGGAAACCAUGAAAGAAUGUAAAAAUUCAUGCCAGUUUGUUGUUAUUCAUUCCAGAACAACUGUGCACAAAGUAGCUGUUUAGUAUUUAUUCUAGUCCAUGGAUGAGGAAGAAAUGGAAUUGAAAGGGGUACUUACUAUGCCAUUAAUGUGUGGAACUUCUCCAAGAAUAGCAGCUAAUAGUGUUGAUUUACCUGAGCCAACCUCUCCACAAAUAGCUACCCUUUCCCCAGGCUUAACCACCAAAUUUAUGUUCCUUAGUGUAGCCCUUGUAGAGUUAUCCUCCCAUGAAAUUCUGUUGCUCUUGAUAAAAAUGGAUUCCUCCAGCUCCUUUCCAUCACACAUCUUCCUUACAUGUUUGUUCUGCAGCUCUGGUGCGUCAAGAAACUUUGCAAUCCGAUCUAACGAAACCUUGGCCUCAAUGAAUGCUGUAAUGACAUCAGGGAUUAACCUAAUUGGCUCCUGGGCAAUGCGUAAACUUGCCAUAAAUGUGAAAACAUUGCUAGCAGAGAGAGUAGUUCCAAUAAAGUAGCAUGCCGUGAAAGUAAUGGCUGAUACUACAAUGGGAGAUGACCAAAACAGAAUCAGACUGUACCCUUUCUGUGACAGAACUGACACUAACCACUUGAACUCCUCUUUCCUUAACCUUUCUAUGACAUUCUUGAAAUGAGUCUCCCAAGCGUACAGCUUCAGGCUUUUCAUGUUUGUAAGUGCCUCUGUGAAAGCCUUCAGCCUCUUGUCCUGAGUUCCCAUGAGCAUUUUCUGGUACUUGUGUUGUAACCUUCCCAUGGGAGAGUUUGCAACUACAGUCAAUAUUACUACAAACAGAGCUGCUAUAGUUGCAAGCCCCAACGAAUAGUAAAUAAUAAUCAAUGCCAGACACAACUGGAGGCUUGUUGACCAGAUCUGGUGAAACCAGUACGGGAAUUCACCUAUAUUGUAAGCAUCAAUAAUAACAAAGCUCACGAUCUGAGCAGGGGAAUACAACCCCUUUGCAGUGUUUGAGAGCUUAAGCUGCUUCUGAUAGAUGGCUGCAGAUAGAAACGAUCUCACUUGGAGCCCAAUCAAUCUAGUUCGAAAGAACCACUGCCUCUCUGAUAACGAUUCUAAGCAUUUAGUAAGGAAGAGCCCUCCCGUCAGUGCAUAACCUUCAUACUUAAAAGCUUCUUUGCCUUCAGCAACCAGGAUGAAGGCUCUAAGAAACAGAGGGCCAGUAGAAAGUGUUAGCACCUUCAUCAAUGCAAAGAAGCCAGAAAUCAAAAUCUGUUUCCACUGCCACAAUAAUAUAGUCGACAAAAUGGAAGGAGAGUCAGAUGACUGCUGUUUCUGCUUGUUCUGCUGUUCCAUGAACAUUAAGUAACACAUUUCCGCUCGAUCUUCCCUUCUUAGCUGUGGAAUGUCUUUGUCCUCGAGAGUUUUCUGCUUACCUUUCUUCAUCAACGAAUUCAACCACCAAAAUGACAUUCUACUAAUAAGCCCAGCUUUCUCAAAAGGGGGUAAGCUGGCAUCUGUAUUGAUUUUAUCACCAGCACUGCUUCCUUCACCUGGCAAAGGUCUAUAGAAGGCAGCACCAUCAAAUCCUGAAUCAGUUCCUGCAUAUUUUGGUCCCGUAAAAGUGCAGAACAUCAAUAGAAUCGCUCCAGGAAAAGAUAUAACAUCUAAAAUCACCUUAACUGAUACUGCAUCGCCCACAAUAGCUUCCCAGAAAGAUGUAACACAGGGAAAACCUGCGAUAAAGAAUGCAAGUACUGAACAGAGCCUCAGCCCUGCAUUAUGUAGAAGUUGAUGCCUCUUAAACCUCACAGCUAAACCCAGAAAAAACCAGGUGAAGCCUUGUAAUAAGACCACUAGCCAGCCAUGCAGAGGUAGAAUGGUGUUCUCUUCACUCAGCUUCUCUCCCACAAUCCAGAACCCCAAACCGAGAUAAACCAACCCUAAACUACCAUUAAGAAAGGCAGCAGAAUUUAGCAUUGUGGAAAAGCAUCUAGACUGUUGAGGGGAUAAGAUCUUCAUAGCUGAUGCUUUAUAUAUGAAGAUAAAUAAUAAGUAGAGCAAGACGAUGAUGUCAACAGAAAUGACCAAAAUAUGAUUGAGACAUGAACAUGGACAGACGAUGGCUAGGAACCCAGAACUGCAUAUCUUUCCAAUUUUACUCCAACACCAGGAACUUCCACAGAAAACAGUCCAGAGACUCUCACCCAUGUUGUAUCUUCUUGCCUUCACAAAACUGUAGCUGUAAUAAAGUAAAGAAAACAAAGGGGUUAUUUAUUAGAUUUUUGGUGUUUUAGACUUGGGAAGUAGUACUAAACAUGAGAACCAUCAAUGCAUGCCUAAUAGUUUCAAUUUUCAGUUGAAAUUAAAAGUAAAAUUUAUCAUACAGGACUGAUCUAAACUUAAUUUCACAACCCCAGGUGCCUAAGAUCAGGAGAAAGAAUCCAAGAACAACUGAACUGAGAUUGAAGAGAACUGACUAAAGACAUAGAACACAAGAAAUUGCAGAAAAAAAGUAGGGAGAAUGGGAUCCAAUGGAGAUGAAUCAAACAUGAAAUCAGAAGAAGAUGUGAACAAGUUCAGGAAACUUAUGCAAAACUCCCCAUUUUUCCGUUUGAUUGUUGAGAAAAAUGCUGGAAAGUAAAUGAAAACCUUAAAUCUCAUAACAAGUAGGGGAUGGAGUGGUAGUUUUAAGAUUGCAAAACUUCUUUUCUUUUACCAUGAGUCUCAGUAACCAAACACACAAACAACCCCACUAGAUCUGUUCUCUCAAGCUGAAAGGAUGAACCCAAAAAAUACGAGAACAACAAGAUCAAACACUUACCUUAGGAUACGUUGGACAAUGAUGUCAAACCAAACCAGAUUUUUUUAUUUAAGCUAAAAUUUCAGUCCAAAUUCCAAAUACUGAACAAAGACUUGAGCAUUUAAGGUAGAAAAACAGAACCCAGAAGAGGAAAAUAAUAGAAAAUUAAUAUUCACAAUGCACCGAGUCAGCCCACAAGAAAAUGAAGCGUCAUAUGAAGGACCCAGGAAUUCAAAGCAAUUAAUGAAGAAACAGACAGAAAGAUGGAGCUACUUCAGAGAGUGAAAAGUGAAAACCAUCUUGAACCAAUUAUAGAAAGCACAGAACAUGGUGGUGGACAAAAUAUUAUGCUGAAGAAGUGCUACAAAAUCCAUAUAGGUAAAAAACCUGCAUAGGCCAUCCAGAAUCUCACCAUCCCUCAUCAAAUCUGUCUGUUUUUUCUCCUUUUUUUUCCCUUCUUUUUUAGUGAGCAUAGGUCAUUCAGAAUAUCACUCUGCCUCAUCAAAUCAUGGGUGUUCAUCUCGCCCUCUUCUACACCUCACUGCUCUCUUUCCUUGCAUUAUAUUAAUGUGUUGUUCCACUCAAACGACAAAUCGAGUUGUUCUCAUGCUUCACGAUGUCGUUGUUGAGGGAGAAUAUUAUCAAGUCUCUGUGUAUAUAUUGUUUCUGUCCACUUCUAUGGAAUUGAUUCUCUAGCUAUAUGGUUAGGUUCGACUGAUGGAAUCAUUUCAUUAAUCUCAAAGUCACCCUCAUUCUCUGCUCCAAUGAUUUUAUUUUUAUAUUUUAUAUUAAAAAAUGACAUUCAGACUGACGUGAUCAACAACACCAUCAGAAUUCUCUUAACCCAACCCUGGGCCUACUACCUUAUAAUUUAAGUUUUUAAAACGAUUUUCGAAAAAAUCAUUUUCAAAAAUAAUUUUAUGAUAGUUUUUAAAAUAAAAUUAAGAAUUUGAAUUAUUUUUUAAUCUAUCUUAUAUAUUUUCAAAUAUUUUUUAAAAAUAAUUUUUAUUUAUAAUAUUUUAUUUUUAUUAAUUCUCUGUAUUUAUAUAAAUAUUUCUUAAAACAAUUCAAAAAAAUAAGUAAAAAUAGUUAAAAUAUGUUAUCACAAAAUAUCAAAACAAGUUCUUAAAAAUAUAUUUUUUGUCAAAAAAAUCACUAAUGUUUUUGUGGACCCCGCAUUUUCGGCUCAUGCGUUUCCCACUCGAUGGCGAGCUCGAUUUUUAUUUGAAAAAUGAUUUUUAUUGAUUAAGAAAAUGACUUGGAGUCGCCACUUAUUUUUGUUUUAUUUUUAAAAGGGUAAACAAAAUAAGAAAGAAAAACCCUAAGUGUGACUCUUUAUUUUGGAAAAGACGGUCUACGAAAAAUCGGGUCGAGUUCAGGGGUCAGGUUACUUAUCGGGAAGGUACGGUAAGGACCGUAGCACCCUUCUAAGUCCCUAAAGUCGGGUCUCUACUAAUAAAAUGAAGCAAUCAUGACAAUUGAUGAGGGAAUCAAUGAAUACUUAGAGUGAUCAUGCAUAUGUGAGAAUCUAAACAUGCGUAUAGAAAAUGACCCAAGCGGGUGUGGAUGCGUACCUGGGCAGUGAUCCAUAAAGCGCUAUCAAGAAGUGAAGUUAGCGCACAAUUAAAGAAUAAUUUCGAGCAUGUCAUAGAGCAUAAUAAAAUCGAUCAUGCAUGGCAAUUAAAUCAAACAAACAAUCAAUCAAUCAUGAGGAAAUCACAUGUGUUGGGCCCCCACCAAAACCCGAUUUAUAUUACAUGAAUUAAUCCCAUAAAUUCCAUUAUUCGGAAUUACGAAAAAUUCGUUUCUGCUUAUUAAAGUCAAGAGGAGCAGAAGAUUGUUUGAAAGCCAGAGCGGAAUUAAAACUAUUUGGGAGAAAAUUAGAUUUUUGAAAUUUAUUAGAAAAUUGGAAUCUUGAAGAUCACUAGAAAAUUGGAAUUUAGAAAUUAACUUUAGGAAUUGGAAUUUAGGAAUUAAAUUUUAAAGAAAUUGGAAUGUUGAAAAUUAUUUGAGAGUUUGGAACUAUUAAAUUAUAAAAAUUGGAAACUUGGAAUUCAUUUGAAGGUGAAAUUUUUGAAAAUAAAUAAAUAAAAUGAUGACAAUAAAUAAAUAAAUAAAUAAACAAAUGUGAAAAUUGAAAAUUUAGAAAUUAGAAAUUAAAUUUGAAAAUUGGAAAUCGAAAUUUUGAAGAAUUAUUUAAAAAUGGAAUUUUAAAAAUAAAAUAAUAAUAAUAAUAACAAUAACGAAGAUAGUAAUUAUUAAAUAAAUAAAUAUAAAAAUUGAAAUUUUAGAAAUUGGAAAUUAAAUUUAAAAAAUUAAAAAAAUGAAAUUUCGGAUAUUAGAGUUUUGAAUAUUAAAUUGAGAAAAUGAAGUUUGAAAAAUUAAUUUUAAAAGAAUUCAGAAUUUUAAAAAUUAAAUUUAAAAAUUAAAUUAAGACAUCAACAUAUGAAAGAAUUAAAAAAAAAAAGAAAAAAUUUGAGAUUGGUAGUGGGUUGGUCUUGUCGGUGGUGAUGAUGGAAAUUACAACAUGGAAUGAUGGUUGGCUUUUAUGGAUAAAAAAAAAAAAAAAAAAAACAUUUGACUAAUGAUGAGAACUGGAAAUUGAGACUUUUAAUGGCACUCUCAUAAUAUGCUACUCCCAAAAUCAAAGGCAAACUAAAGUUAGCAUUGAUGGCGUUUUAUGAGAGAGAUAAGUUUCAUGUUCCUGCUGCGCAGACUUGCUGGCAUCCUCUCGUCUCUGCACAGCUCCGCCAAGUACUCCAGCCGAGAUCUUCUUGUCCCUUCACAAAAAUACAUCAGCGUGUUUUCCUUCGCCGAGAACUGUAUGGACCAGCUUCUCCCGUCCAAAGAGGCGGAAAUCCUUGGCUUUGACGGACGACGGCGACGCUGUUUUAUCAGGAUUGGAAACGGAGUCGGACGAUGACGAAUCAUGGCCUUGCAACUCGUUGGUGAUCUUUUCCAGCGAGGAUUCAGAUGCGGCUCUCGAACCUUUGGCGUGUUCAGCCAUUUUUAUCGGACUGGGAUCCGAAACACAGUCCUAUCGUGUCGGCGAAAUGAGAGGGGAAGAUGAUACUUCAGGGACAGAAACAAGAUUCCGAUGAAUGAAAAUGGAGCUGAGAGAGUGGCGACGAUGGAAAGAGAAAUGGGUUCAUAUUAGUGGAAAAAAACAUAUACAGAGUCAAAACCAAACUGCAACCCAUGUCUCUGGUGUCUCAUGAUGGAUAAGACGAAGGCCUUCAUCAGUUUCUCAAGCUGGAUCCAUGGAACAGAGAAAGAACCAACAGCACAAGGGUAUAAACGAACACAUAAAGCAACAAAGACAUCCAGUAGAAUGAUACCCAGAAUAAAAAAAUAUGGUUCACAAUGAACGUACCUGGAGUGCUUCCUGGAGUCGGAUUUGCUCCCCUUCCCCUCAGCUUUCCUGCCCCAGCCCCAAAGAAAUACAUAUAUUUUUUCUCUGCUGGCAGCUUCUUCUCCAAGCUGUCUCUCGCUGCCACCAGCAGCUCGCCUCAUCCCAUCCCAUGGCCGCCCAAAGCAGCUCGUUUCCCGGUGGUCAGAGAAGUAAUCAUAUAAAAAUGGCCAAAAACUCCUCCUCCCCGGUAGGGGGUCUACAGUUUAAUUUUUAAGAAUAGAAAACUAUUUAAAAAAUGAUUUCUAAACAAGCUUUAGCUUUGAAGUUGGUAUCAUUCUAGAAACAUAAGGUUAUGUUUAAUUUUUGAAAAGCAAUAGAGAAAUAAAAAAAAUAUUAAAGAAAAUGAUUUUUUUAAUAUUUGAUUUCAUUACAAAAAAAAUGAAAGAAAAUCAAGUAUAAUUAAAAUUAAUUAAAAAAUUAUUUGUUUUUAAAUUAUUUUAAUCUAUAUAAUGAAGGGAAAUAAAUGAAAUAAAUUUGAAGAAGUAUAUAAAAAUAAUUUAAUAAAUUUAUUUAAAUCUGUUUUUUUUUUCUUCCUUUUUUUUCUUUCCUCUUACUUUUUUAGUUGCAUUUUUUUCUCAAAUUUUUCGGUAAUCAAAUAUAGUUUAAAGGUUAGUAUACAUUAUUAAACAAUUAAUGAAUAACUUAAACUUUUGGUUUAAAUAGAGUGGGUUUAGUUUAAGAAUAUUAACUAUUUGUAAACUUGUUAGUUUUAUUUUUUAUUUUUUAUUUUUUAAAAUUCUUUGCAGUUUCAAAUAUUUCCUAUUGAAGUAAUUUAAUGGGAGUUAAAUAUAUUAUAAAGGAAAACAUUUUCGAAGUUGAAGUCUCUACAUGCAGUGAUAUAAACUAACACUUCAAACACAUUCAUACAUGCUCUACCCUUAAUUAGUCGAAAAUUUAAAGAGACUGAUUAUGUUAUUGAAAUUUUCAAUUUUAAACUUUGAUAUAUAUAAUUAAAUUAACUAUUAUCUUAUUUUUAAUUUUUUUAAUGCUUAAAAAAAAUAUUGAGGAAAAAAAAGAAAAAAAAAUAGAUUUUACAUUAAUAAAUUAUUUUUAUUUGUUUUUUCAAAUUUAUUUAAUUUAUUUAUAUAUAUAAAGAUUAUAUAAUUUUAAAAACUAUAAUGGUAUAUUCAUUUUUAAUUAUAUUUUAUUUAAAAAAAAUCUAUGAUAAAUUAAAUAUAAGUGACUUAUUUUCUUUAAUAUUUUUUCUAUAUUUUUAUGCAACUUAAAUCAUGAUGAAAAAGAAAAAGAAAAAGAAAAAAGAAAUAUUGGUCAUAUUUUAUGCAUGAUAAAGAAAAAUUUCUUUGGGUGUGAUUUAAACUUUAAAAAAAAAACCAAUUUAUUUUCAUGUUGGGUUAUUUGGUUAGAAGGAUGAAAUAAUUCUCAAUUAAAAAUUUUUUUUUUAAUAAAAAUAAUUUUAUCUUUUAAAACUUAUUGGCAGAUUAUCUAAAUAUUGAUCUCAAAAAUGUAUUAUUUUUAAAAUUUUAAAAUUUAAAAUUAUUUCAUCCUUUUAAUCAAUUUAUUUUAAAAAAUUCUCUUUAAUUUGGUUCAAUCUUUUCAAUGGACCUCAACUUUCCAUAUUGGUAGAUACCUUGAGAAAGAUGUCUGCCAAUCAAGGUCAUGAAGCAAGGCAUCCAAAACUCCUUAGCAGAUAGAAUUAUUAUUUUGAAGUUUAAGAAUGAGAAAAUGACAUCAUUUGUAAUUAAUUUUUGGUUUUGUAAGAUUAAGAAUGAGAUUAGAAAAUAUACUUUUGGAUGGAAUAUUAUAAUCGUAUUAAUAUAUUUAGAUUAAAAUAAUUUAUUUAGAUUGAAUAUUUUAUACCUAAUCUCUAAAUGUAGCGAUGGAAUAUACUCAUAUUUGAUUCUAAUAAAGUGAUAGGAAGAAAGAAAACUCGGAAAAAAAUGAUCUUUUAAAAAAAUACAAAAUUAAAUUAAAUUAAUUAAAAUUUAAUAUACUUUUAAAUUAUUUAAUAUUCACAAGACUUUAUUUAAUUUAUGCUCCAAUAAUACACAAAAAUGCAAAUUAAUUAAAAAUCAAAUAACUUAUUUUUUAAAGAAAACGUAAAUUACAAAUUUCAUGAUGUUUCAUUUUACACAAAAAUGAAAGAUUAAAAAUGGUUUCUAAUUUGUCCUUACAAAAAAUGUGACAUUAGGUGGAUUCCUUGAGACAUGGUGGACUGAUUGGUACCUAAGUUAUGAUGAUGUCUUCUCAUACAUUUCUUUUAAACUCAUCAAAUCAUUAAAGGGAAUGUAUCUAAUAAAUUUAAAAAGAAAUUCCUCACUUUUUUUCUUAUUAACAUUUGUUUUAUCUUUCAUUCCUUAUGAAUUCUAAAUUAAUGUUUUCUUUGUUAUAAUUAUUAUGAAUGGACAUCCACAUUAAUUAGUCUUUGACAAUUUAUUUGUGAAAAUGUAUUUAUAGCAAAAAAAACAAAUCAUGCCUAAAAUCAGGUCAAAUUGUUUUAAUUAUUCAAAUUGACUUUUUAAUUAGUAAUAAGAUUAAGUAUACAAGUCUUAUUUGGCUGUUCUAGGAGUAACUAUUGAUGAAUAUUAUGGCAAAUUUUUUUACUAAAGAGAUUUAUUACCAUGAUAUUAAAGAAGGUGAAUAAAUUUUUUUCUUAAAGUCUCAAAGAAUGAAGCAACAAUAGAUCAUGAUCCCAAAAUCUCUAUCAAUUUCUUCCAUCUUUAUAUUUCCAAUUAAAAGCGUAGUAACUUGGUUAUAAUUAGAAUAUCUUUCUAGUUUGUGUUUAACUAACUAAAAAGGAAAAAAUAUUUUUUUGUUAUGCGGUUCAUUUUAUACUAGGAAUUACCUUUAAAGUGUUUUUAUAAAAAUUUAUGAUAAUUUUAGUAUUUUAAAAAAUUUUCAUUGAACAUAAGUCUAGUUUUUCGAUUGUGUUAUAGGAGUUUUAUCUAAUAAGAUCAUGUCUGAUAUGUUUUUUACCGUAAAGAAGUGGAAGUAGAAAUGAUUACUUUUGUUAUAUAAUUGAUUUUAUAUUUAAAACUAUAUUUUAAAAAUAUGUUUAGCAAAUAUAAAAAUAAUUUAUAUUUUUUAAAAAUUAAUUAAAUAAAGCUUUGAUUCUAACAUCAAAGCAUUUACAUUUUCAAAAAAUUGAUGAAAAAUUGAUGAUCAAGAAAUCUAAGAAGAAUUAUCUUUGGUAUUUAAAGGAUGAUUUUAAAGUUCAAAUGACUCCCAAGUGAAACUUGAAUGCAAUCAAAGCCUAUAACACCAUUGGAAAUAUUAUUAUUUCAUUAUUUUAUUUAUAAAAAUUUGCACUCUACUACAAAAUAAUAGAACUAUAUAGUAGUUUUAUUAUAUAUAUGUGACUUGAGUCAUAACUUGGGUUUUGGUAUGACUUAGGUGGAAAUUGUUUUUUUUGGUUUUUUAGUUAAAGUAAUUUGUUUUCAGAAUUUAUGCUGUUUAUUUUUCUAUUUUUUCAUAAUUUAUUAUAAAUUUUUUACUAAAUAAAAAAAGUCAAAAUAUAUUACUUUUUUUAAAUAGAAAAAAUAACAUAUUUGAAAAUGUGAAUCUCAAUAAUGAACUACACCUAGAGGGGGGUGAAUAGGUGUUGUAGAACAAUUUAAAAAUUCUCUCAACAAAGAUUACCUAACCUUAGACUAUCUUAAUGUCAAGAAUUUUUUUCUUCCAAUAACUUUUCAACAAAGCAAAACAUCCACAAGCAAUAAUGUAUACAUCAACACUCUCCCAACAAUUUAUCAAUGUAAAACACAUGCAAAUGCUUCAACACUCCUAAAAAAUAAAUCAAAAUAUAGAGUGAGAGAAAGAGACAAUGAACACCGGAUUUUUAACGUGGAAAACUUCCGAAGAGAUCAAAAACCACGGGCCUAUCACCGAUUGAAAACUCCACUAUGAAGAAUAAAAACUGAGUACAAGGUUUUACCUAACUCAAGCCAAUCAAUCCUUCCCGGAAUACUUGACUAGUACCUUCAUUUUCAGCUUCUCCUGUUGGAGCACACUUGGAGUCCGCACCAAGCUCAAUCUCGGCCUCUUCUUGAAUCCACACAAGAAGAAAAUGGGUUUUUACAUAAACCCAAAUAGAAUGAGAGAUUGAGAUGUGAAUGAAGGAAUGAAUCAACCCAUUUAUUGCUCAAGAAAAUCCAUUGAAAACUAGUUUGGAAAAUAUUAAGAGAAGUGGAUUUUCUUUGCAAUCAAAAACCCUAAAUUAGGAAAGCAAAAAUGAGAAAAUGAAGAACACUUGGAGUGUGGCUGCUCUCCCCACGUUUUCUGCAGUCUCUCUUACCAGAAAAUGAGAGAAGAUUGGUUUUUAAAGUGUAAAAAGAAACCCUUAAUCUAAUGGCUGAGAUUUGAUCAAAAAAACAUUAGUUGGAUAGAUCCACCCCUACACUUGGAUCGAUCCAGAAACAGAAGAAUGAAAGCUUUGCACCAAAAACCAUUUUUCUCAACUUUCUAACACAUUUAAAGAUUAAAAACCGGGUUGAUUCACACUCAAUCACUCCACACUUGACUACAUAUCUCGGCCUCUUAGCAAAGUCUUAGUUUUCAAAGUCAAGUAGUACAAAUAGGAAUAGGAAAGCCGAGUUAGGGGACACUUAGGAAUUUUGUCCGGAAUUGCCAACCUAGCUAAACACUCACAAUAUUGAUUUUUUUUUUUAAUACUUAAUAGAAAUAAAAUAUUAUAAAAACAAACAACCUAAUAUUUAAUACUAUUAAACAUUAAGUACCUAUUUAGAAUUAAGUAAAAAAACAAACACCACCUUAACCAUAGUAUCAUUUGGGCUUCCAUGACUACCCUGUAGCAACUGGACAAUAGAUGCUAUGGUCCAUGACUACUCUUUAACAAGAGACUUCCGAUAAAACAGGACCUAAAAAACCAUAACAAUCCAGCUCAUCAUGCAGCAACCUGACCAAAGAGCCGCUUGCGAAGCUGCAGUGGGAAGAAAACAAGAAAAUGGUUAAAGAAGAAUGGCCACACAUGGAUAAACUAAGGCUAUCAUUCACCAUCAAAUUUGAGAGACACAUGCCCAUAUAAGAUGAAUGCAGCAGAUAAUCUAAAGAUGAAAUAUCCAAUUGACUGAUAAUUGGGUAUAUAAACCAAUUAACUGGGAAAAAAAAAUGAACUUAAGAAGGAUGAAUACCCCUGGAAGUUUUUUUAUGAAAUACAACAUCCAAUCUUGCAUCAAGGGUGUUCUCCCAUAAAAUUUUUCUACCAGAGGGAUUUUCCAUCACUUUUCUUUCAACAAAAGCUGUUUCAUCCAUGUUUAUAUAUUUCCCACAACCAGUCCGAUAUAAAGAGUAAAAGAUGCAUGAGUUAUAUAUUAUUUUUUUGAAAAUGAAAGAUCAGCCAGCAGUCUCACAGAAAGAGUACAUUUGUACCUUUACAAACCUUUCCACUACAUAACAACUGUUAGUAAGCAAAACAGACCAUAUGCCCACAAAAAAUGGGAGGAUCAAAGUUUACGCUUCUGCCAGUGAUCCAUUUCCAAUACCUCAAGUUAGUGUUUAAGUCCAUGAUCUAGGUUUCUUUCUUUUUUCUUUUUUUAUUUAUUUUCCUUUUUUUUUAAGGUAAUAAAAAGAGAACACCCUGGUCUGCUCAACCUGUUUGGGCAAAGUAAAAUUUGGGCAAAUUAGCUGAGUUUAUAUUGACCUGAACCACAAGAUCUUUGAGAAGCCUUUUAUAGACAUGGUGAUCAUGUCCAGAGACGAUGUUUUAAAAUGCAAUUCAUUAUUGCAUAUUGAUACUAUCCAGUAGGUAGAAGUAGAACCGUAGAACAACUCAUAACUGCAAAAGCAUACCAUUAGCCUUCAAAGCCUGUUUAAGUUUCAGAGCCAAUCUCCUGAGGCGUUACUGCCAUUUGAAGAUCGAGACCAGUACUCCGUGACAAGCUGCCCAAACAGCGAUCCCUCCUUCUUUAUCAGUUUCAUUGGCACAUCGUACUCUACUAAUUUUCCUACGGAAGCAAAAGCACUAGUUAUUUGAAUUUGUUUUACCAUAUUGAUCCCAACUAGAAUGAAAUGUUCCUUCGUAGAAACUCACCGUCACUGAUAGCAAGCACCAUUGUGCAGUCCAUCACGGUUGGGAUUCUGUGGGCUACUGUAAUUACAGUGCAGUCUGCAAAUUCUGUUCUUAUGGUCUUCUGGAGAAUGGAGUCUGUUGCAUUGUCUAUAGAUGCAGUGGCUUCAUCAAGCACUAGUAUCCGACUUCUCUUCAGUAGGGCACGUCCCAAGCAGAAUAAUUGUCGCUGGCCCAUGCUCCAAUUUGAUCCGUCAUGUACAACUGUAGGGCAGACAGAUUGUUAGCAAGAGUUUUUGAAUCCAAAGAAUGGUACCAGUGUGUUUUAUGUUUCAUACCUAAGGAGUCCAGGCCCUCUUCUUUCUCUUGAACAGCCCCUCGAAGUUGACAUUUUCCCAGAACCUUUCACACAUUCAUGAGAAACAAUCUUAGUGUAGGAUAUAAAGUAAAUUUACCUUAUUAGGAAUCUGUACUUUUUGAAGGGACUACCACGACAAAUAUUUGGUAUGGAAAGAAAAUUAGGAGGUAUUUAAUAGCACUCUAAAACAUCAUUGUGUUCCAAAACACAGAAUAUCAGGAGCUCGAUCAAUGACAAUGGAAUUCAAAAUCUGACAGCGUUUAAUUAGUUUGUUAGUGUAGAAACUGCAAUGUCUAUGCACUUAAGAGUGAAGCCUGCUUCAUAUCACUGGCAGAAUCUUUUGGAGAUCUGUAACAUAUCAUGAUUGAAUCCUAAAAUUAGCAACCACAACAAAUUAAUAGGAAACUAACCUCCCAUAUUUCCUCAUCAGUAUGCAGCGAUAAAGGGUCAAGAUUGUAUCUUAUAGACCCGCUAAACAGAGUUGGUUCUUGUGGAAUGAUCCCAAGACGUGAUCUGAGAUCAUGAAGCCCAAUUGUGGAAAUAUUUAUGCCAUCUAUAAUUAUCUGUCCCUCUGUAGGCUCUACCAAGCGAAACAAAGCGCUGAUAAGAGUUGUCUUUCCACUACCAGUCCGGCCAACGAUCCCAAUUUUCUGUCCUCCUCCAAAUUUGCAACUGAUUCCUUGAAGAACUAGAGGAGCAUUGGGCCGAUACUUGACCUGCUCAAUGUCAUUUCAUCUACUAUAUUAAUCUCUAUAAAUCUUGAAGUUGUAGAACAGAAACAGAUACCCAAAUUCUUACUGAUUUCACCAUACCUUCAAAUCAUAAAUUUCCACUUCACCAAUAGUAGGCCAACUGGGUGGCGGUCGAUUACUCCCUAUGACUUCAGGGGCUUCGCUAGGAAUAUUCAUGUACUGUUCUAAUCUUUCAACAGAAACAAUCAUAUUUGCUAAAAGGCACUGGCUUUGGGCAGAAAAUACGAAGAAUACAUUCACUGAAAGGCCAUACGAUAAUGCCAUUCCAAUAAAUCCUGCCAUCAGAACAUUGACGACGAAAAUGCUCAUUAGACAAUAAUACCAUAAAUGGUUGUCAAUUACUAAGAUUUCUUUAAAUAUCACAUUGACCAAGCUGUUUUUGAAUAUCAAAUACUGUGCACGUAGGAAGUUAGUAGAAGGGUUUUUCUUUUGGAUUAUGCACUGAUCUGUUUGUAUGAUUAUUGUGUAAGAAUCAUGGACUUGUUAGCUCACUUUGUUCUUGAUAUAACCCAAGUUUCUAGUUAUGAUGUUGAGAAAGUUGGAGCUAAAAUGGGUUUAUUAUAGUGAUUUUUUAUUACUACCAACUGGGCAGCUGUUGUUUCAUGAUCUACAAAGCCCUAUCUUGUAUUCAUUUCACUCCACUCAUCAAGGUCAAGUAGGAAACUAAGAUAGGUAACUUUCCUAUUUAAUGUUGGAUAUUUUAUUGGAUUUUAGGUCAUUACUGAAGUGCCUCUAAAUAUUUCAUUCUCCUGAAGUUCCUUCUUUUCAGUGAGAAAUAUGAAAAUUUAGUGGAGACCCUGGGUUGUAGAUCUCUUUCUUUUACAGUUAAAAACAUAUGCUAUCUAGCAAGCAGUCAUAGCAGGCAACAGAAAAGCAGUUUUUGUCUUGAGGUUUUGAUCCUUUUGGAGAAUUUACCAUUUGUGGCCAUAAUCAGACACUUCAUAUUUAUCAUUUUCUGGUUGUAGAUCUUACCUACUGAAAAAUCCUAAUGGUAUCCUCUUGUAAGGAUCAAAAUUCACAUGAUCAAUUACUAUUCUCAAAGUUGCACAGGCCCCCUUAGGUUAAACAUGUUAUAAACUUCUAGGGAGUUAAAACUGUUGAAAUUAGACCAAAGAGAGUUUUAAGCAACUGCAAGGACAAUUGAAGGAUCUGGCAUGGACCUUCUAAUUUUGUGUCCAUUCUCAUUGGUCAUAUAGUUAGCCUCGUGAGUAAAUUCAAACUAUCUUGGAUUUUGCCUAGUUUGUUGUAUCAACUAAUGGAUAGUUGAGCAUGCAGGGUUAGGUACAGGAAGGACCUGUAAUUUCGGUAGUGUCUUUAGUUUGUAGUUUAGUACCCUUAUGGAAUCCUCUAGGAAAGAAAGAGAUAAGAGUAUUUUUGGUUUUUUUUUCUUUUGGAGACGGAAGGUUUUGUUAUUAGCAUCCACAAAUGGGGUAAAAUGGCAGAUCUCUAGCUGAUAUUGGGCAUGCUAGUUCAGGUCAUUAGGCCAGUGAUCCGGGUGGCUCCUAUGAGAUAAAUCUUCAAGUUGCUGCAAGUUAAAAAUGCAAUAGGGUGAUGGAAAGGCUGAAUGUAACAUGGGUGGAAUUCAUAAAAAAGAUAAAAAUCUCAAUAUUGAAUGGUGACUUGUCUUACUAUCAAGCCAAAUGGCUGGAAAGGAUCAUUGUAAUUAAACCAAGGUUGUGAUCAAAUGGUACUUGUAGAGGAACGAAUUUACGAUUUCAUCUUAGAGAAUUGAUAGUUAGGAGUGUUCAAGCAAACUAACAAAUUCAAAUGUAAUCGAGCUGUAUAAACUAGUGCCAAAAACACCUACCAGAUUUAGAAGAACUCGUAUGAAGCAAUGUUAGGGCAAGGGCUGAAGAUGAGAGAACGAUAGCACAUAGUAUUUCAAGGCGUUGGAUCAACCACUCAUUUGCUGUGAAACUGUAGAAGAAUGGACUUGCAUUUAUGUCAAUGAAGUCCAAAUUCUUUGAAAAGUGUCUAUCUUCCUCCCCGAAAGCUCUAAUUGUCAUAGCACCGGCAAUGGACUCAGCAAGAUGGCUUGCAACAAAGGACUUCGUCGUGCCAUUGAUUCGCAUCAAUUCUUUUCCAGCAGCAAAGUAGUACCUCUGGUUGUUAAAAUGAAAACAAACAUGAUCAAUUGCUGAGAAGCCAAGAGAAGUACAAAAUAUCUUACAGGGAACACACGCCUAAAUGAGGAGGGAAGCAGCUGCCUCUACUACAUCUAUGAAAACAUGAGACAGCAGUGUAUUACCUGGAUGAGUAUACUAAGAUAAAUUGUUGGUAAAAUGACAAACACAAGUUCCCAGGCAAGAAUAGCCAAUACUCCAAAACUGGCAUAAGUAGUCACAGCUGCCCCAAUAGCAAAAGUAAAUUUGAAGGCCAUAUCAAGGUCAACCACACUUAAAUCAGAAGAUACCUACAAAACGACAAUAAAAAAAUAAGUCUUCUGUUGUUUGUAAUAUGCAUAUAUUUUAAGCAUCUUACCCGACUGAGUAUCCUUCCCAGAGGUGUCGAGUCAUAAAAGGACAUUGGUGCUCGAAAAAGGGAGCUCAGCAGUGUAGAAAAAAUAGAUUGCGAUGCCCCAAGGCCUACAACAACAACAAAAAAUGAUCGGAGCAACAAAAAUAUUGAUAAGCUUAAUCCAAUCCCUGUGUAUACUGCAAUCAGUUUCAAUUGGCUAACACUAGGAUUCUGGACAUUUGCAGCCAACCAAUAGUUUUGCACCAACUGCGCAACAAUGAAUAUGAUAUGAGAUAGAUUUGCCAAAAAGAAGUAGAACAAUCCCUUGCUAUAUUUCAAGUAUUGUAGGUAAGGCUUCAGACCAGUGUCUCCCGUUUCUCUUUCUUCUUUCUUAAUUAACUGUUCUCCUAAUGAAUCUCUUAACUGUUUUUCGCUGUCAAUCUUUUGUAUCUCUCCCUUCGGAAUUUUAGACUUCUGGGUAGAAUCAUGCUCAGGUUGCCUCUCAGAACCAACUGUGGCAUUGUGUGCAAUGAUAAGGUCCUGGAACUCUUGACUAGAGUGCAUCAGCUGGUCAAAGGUAGCAGC